RNAcentral lists this unclassified non-coding RNA (459 nucleotides) under Hevea brasiliensis (rubber tree). The record is from RNAcentral. Lineage: Eukaryota; Viridiplantae; Streptophyta; Magnoliopsida; Malpighiales; Euphorbiaceae.
ACAGAAUUCACUUUUGUACUUGAAGAAGGAGUAGCAGAUAUGAAAUUUUCUCGAGCAGCUGUCUUUGUUUUAUUUUUGAUGGCUCUGAUCUUCACCCUUUCUUUCUCUGAACCGAUAAGUUGUUGGUCUCUUCUAUCAAUGAGAUGGAGACUGUUCUCUUGGUCAACCUUGGACAUGGAAGAACGCAUUCCUAAAGGCACUUGCUGUGAUACACCAUCAGCUUUUCCAGUUCCAGUAGUUCCUGGAGUAGCUCCAGGUCUGAAGCUAUGGGUAUCACCAAACCGCAAGCGGCCAUCAGCUAUAAGACGGGACGGCAAUCCUUGCUUUGGUUCCCUUUCCAUAGGUUUUGCUGUCGACGAGCUUCCAGUAGUAUCUGGCUUUAUUCCAGAUCGCUUCUUUUUCAUCUUAGACUUCUCCCAGCCUUCUACAGCAAUAGAUGAUGUCCGGUCCUCUCCAUGA